Non-coding RNA from Xyrichtys novacula (pearly razorfish), 856 nucleotides. The record is from the annotation of a GenBank genome assembly. Lineage: Eukaryota; Metazoa; Chordata; Actinopteri; Labriformes; Labridae.
AAAUUCGGACUUAAGUUGGGCAAAGGAUUUUAAGAUAUCGCUCAGGAAUAGAUCUUGGAUCUUAAGGAUACCAGCAUCUUUCCAAACUCUAAACCCAGUAUCAGAGCAGGAUUGGGGAAAGUCAGGGUUAUGGCACACAGGAGCAAGAAUAGUAUACCGAUUAGUGACACCAAAAUGCCUACGAAUCUGGUUCCACGAUUUAAGAGUAUUUCUCACAAUAGGAUUUUCACUUAUUCCAGGGAGUGAAAUUGCCCCAUUGAUGAACAGCAGUUCGAAAAGAGCCGACCGACAACCGACGGCCUAUAGGUCAAGGAAAGUUGAAUUGGUAUCAUUUCUUAUCCACUCCGCUAUAUAUCUAACCUGAGAAGCCCAUAUAAUAUCCUCGGUAAUACAUUCAUUUUUACAAUGGCAAUCUGGCCAAGUAAUGAUAUUGAUAAGGGGUUCCAUCUUUGAAGGUGUGGUGAGACGCCUCCUCAUCUUGUUUUAUUUUGGCUGGACUUCCUUUGUUUCCCUGUUUGCCUGGUUUGGCUUUACUCUUUUCCAGGGCUUCCUCCCCUCCCCCGGCGCUGAGGCUGAGUGAGACCACACACCUGCUCCACAUCUCCAAUCAAGGCACUUUAAGAAGCCUGCAGCCCUCAGUCUCAGCGCCUGAGUAUUGUCUACCCUUCCUCGUGGUAAAGACGCGUCUCCUGGCCAACUUCGUUUGUAUAACCUUCAGAACUUUGCUCCUCGUGACUCUUUUCAUGUUCAAUAACUCCUGUCUCCUCUGGUUUUUCCUGCAGUGUCUCCAGCCCACACGACAGCCAGCCAACCAGCCUACCGGACAUCCUCUGUUUGCAUCUACUACCUUUUGUUU